Molecule: ribosomal RNA, 541 nt
Filed under: Apiotrichum scarabaeorum
Lineage: Eukaryota; Fungi; Basidiomycota; Tremellomycetes; Trichosporonales; Trichosporonaceae
Description: eukaryotic LSU rRNA
Rfam family: 5.8S ribosomal RNA (bases 153-306)
Source: RNAcentral
CUUCCGUAAGGGGAACCUGCGGAAGGAUCAUUAGUGAUUGCCUUUUGGCUAUAACUAUAUCCAUCUACACCCGUGAACUGUUUGAUUGAAUCAUUUGAUUCAAUUAUUUACAAACAUUGUGUAAUGAACGUCAUUAGAUCGUAACAUGAAAAAACUUUCAACAACGGAUCUCUUGGCUCUCGCAUCGAUGAAGAACGCAGCGAAUUGCGAUAAGUAAUGUGAAUUGCAGAAUUCAGUGAAUCAUCGAAUCUUUGAACGCAACUUGCGCUCUCUGGUAUUCCGGAGAGCAUGCCUGUUUGAGUGUCAUGAAAUCUCAACCAUUAGGGUUUCUUAAUGGCUUGGAUUUGGAGGUUUGCCAGUCUAACUGGCUCCUCUUAAAGGAGUUAGCAAGUUUGACUAUUGCUAUCUGGCGUAAUAAGUUUCGCUGGAAUGGUAUUGUGAAGCGUGCUUCUAAUCGUCUUCUGGACAAUUUUUUUUUGACUCUGGCCUCAAAUCAGGUAGGACUACCCGCUGAACUUAAGCAUAUCAAUAAGCGGAGGAA